UAACGGGAAUUUACGACUCCCGUUGACGCGUAUUCUAACGACCGCGUCUCCCCACGAUAGAUCGAAAAUACACAAAUUGAUUUCUUUUUAUUUACAAUAUUGUUUAUUUAUAAUGUUAUGAGUGAAUAAGAUUGUAUGAAUGUAUCUUAAGAAUACAGAUAGUUUCUAAUAUCAGGCAGAAUGUAAUUACAAAUGGAGAUAAAAUAAAAAAGAUUUAUUUAUAACAGAUGUAGAUAUAUCGAAGCUUUAAUCAUGUAUGCAAUUAUAUAUUGAAAAAAUUGAUCUACAUAAAGGUAUGAAAGUAUAACAUUUAAAAAUUUAUGAACUUUAUUUUUAUUUAAUUUCAAUAAUAUACGGUAACUGAUUACGUAAUUACGAAAUUUGACAACUAAACGAAUCCCUUGAAACAAAUCAGCUAAUCUUACUAACAGCUUACUGCUAACCGUGCAUUACCAUUGGAUAAUUGCAUACAGUUGACUGCCCGCAGGAAUGAAUCCUCAUUAUCACUACACUGCGUCGUUGAGCGAACUCUCGAUCGAACUUCCUUUUGAUGCUCGUUUCGCGGAAUAAUAUACGCGAUAAGAAUCAAGGACGAUGCUGUAUAAUUUGUUACUUUAAUGCCAGUAUAUUAGAAGGACAGAAAAUUAUUACGAGUGAUUGUGAAACGAUUUGAAAGAAAAUUCCUCGAUAAUCCUCCUGAAUGCGUGUUAUUAGUAAUUGCACGUAUAGGUUAUUAAUAGUAUCUAAACUACUAUUAAAGGAAAGAUGGAAAGACAAAUCGCAAAAUUGCGAUUGCAGGUUCUCCUGUUACUCAUUGUUGAAUAUAAUAUGACUGAAACUACGUGCUAGUAACUGUUUUAUUCGAUGGCAUUGGAGGAUUUUUUAAAAAGAAAUUCCAAAGUGACGAAAAUUAAUCGAAAAGUGAGAAAGCGAAGAAGGUAAGGCAGAAAUCUAUGCCACGGAUGUUUCUUUCGCACGGUAAUAUGGAACAAGACGCCAUCUUCAUCUGCGAGUCCUUCCAAUACGUGCAGAAAGACAGCAAAAUCGGACUGAUUUGGGAAGGAGCAUUAUCUCAAAGGUUACCGACUAACCGUGCAGGAUAGCUCGACGAAAAGAUUAUCUCCUACUUUAUGAUCGUUGGUGAUAGUUGACGAACAGCCAAGAAUACACACAAGGAACGAUAUAUAAUAAUUGAAAACGUAAUAACUGAACCUGGCCUAACCGCUUAAGAUCGAAAUAUAUGAAUAUCCUCGCAGCAUCUUAAAUAAAUACGUGUUAUGUGAUUUUUCCACGUAUCACAUGUCAUCGUGCAGGUUUGACGUGGAAAUGUCACAAUGUUGACGCGAUAAUAACUGCUAAAUAAUAUUACACUUCAUAGGCUAUAAGAAGUUCGUAGCCGGCAUUCAACGAAUCGUAAAGUAUCACACAAGGCAGGUUUUAAUCGCGAGAGUCGAUAUUAUUUUACUGUAUUAUCUUCGUUGCUUUUCGACUCUAAGUAGCUAGGUAUAAAGAAAAUUUUAAUAAGGAUAUUACGAAAAAUUGUACAAGCAGUUCAAACGUAAUAAGAUAGCUCUAGCUGACUUAAGAAAAUAUAGAACAUCGUAAAGGGUAUAUUGGAAACAUUGCAUCGUUGGUACGGGAAUCAUAAGGGAGUUGGUCGCAGUAGGUGGAAAUAAUUGUAAGGUAUAUCCUCUGUACAACCUACAUCUCGUUCAAUUUCUUCUACUAACCCUUUCGAUGCUUCCUCGUUGGUUCCUCUAGAACGAUACUGUUUUCUAGAAAUUGUCUGGUAAACGGGGCUCCUAGAAUAGCCGUGUUCUCGAGAGCAGUAGCUAGAACAGAGUUACUAAAACCCUCGACAAGGCUGUGUACAGCCUACCGGCCAAUCGAUGGAAUUAAUUUGCAUAAUGUAUACAUGCGAAAGUGUAUGUUCCACAAUGCUCUCCGAUACUGUUGUUACCUUUAUCCGAUGAUAUCGAAGGAGACUGGGAGGAUUCACGCCGCGUUUGUGCGCGAUGCAAUUAAAAUUCUUGAUAGGAUUUUUGUGGUACGAUGGAAGUGUGACCGUUUAAUGACAAGUACAUAUAUAUAUAUCGCACUUUUAACGAGCCAGGGAAACACAUCGAUGAAAUCGCAAUAUCAGCUCUGUGUCGAUUAACCGUUUCAUUAAACGCUCACGGAAUGUAUCUAUCCACUGGUUUGUAUUGCGCAUUAAUAUUUAUUUAUAAAUUUUUCUCCGGAGGUUAAAUGAAUUUGUAAUGCUAUUACGAUUCGCAGUUUAUUUGCAUCAUACGAUAUGUUAAGUAAGUAGCGUGCGAUUUGAAGGCUUCACUUUGUUUUCUAUUCAUCCAAUUUUCGUUCAAAGUUACAGCGGAAUGCCGGUAUUUCUCGGUGUAUCUUCUGAUUCGCUUUGUUCUCGUGCUUUUUAGACACUCGUAGCAAAAAUUGUAAUCUAAUUCGACGCGAUACAUUGUAAUAAAUGACGUAUAAGGGUUUUACAACCUUACCGAUUUAACGAAGUUGAAAUUUUGAUCAUUCAUAAUUCUUAUCAACGAUCGACGAUUGAACAAUGUAAUUGAACUUUUGGCAUUCAUUUUAUAGAAAUAUGUUUGUCUUCGUUAUGUAAUGAAAUUGCAAAUGCACGUUGCAAGCAAAAAAAAAAAAGACAUUUUAUACCUCUUAAUCAUACGAUACAUGAGAAAUGCAAUGGAUAAGAGUAUUACCGAAUAAAAUCGUAACAAGUAGAAAUACGCGAUACGUUGUACAUUGUUUCUUUGUUUUCGAAUUUUGACGAGGCGGACAUGGAAAUCGGUAAACGUUUCGAUACGAGAAUCCAGAUUUCGAA
This is a long non-coding RNA of Bombus terrestris (buff-tailed bumblebee), 2845 nucleotides long. RefSeq lists it as uncharacterized. Lineage: Eukaryota; Metazoa; Arthropoda; Insecta; Hymenoptera; Apidae. The transcript is spliced from 4 exons. The record is from RefSeq and is a predicted model, not a curated record.